RNAcentral lists this ribosomal RNA (343 nucleotides) under Bacillus thuringiensis. Its description in RNAcentral is "bacterial SSU rRNA". It matches the Rfam family "Bacterial small subunit ribosomal RNA", at positions 18 to 349 of the family's 1533-position model. Lineage: Bacteria; Bacillati; Bacillota; Bacilli; Caryophanales; Bacillaceae. The record is from RNAcentral.
CCUGGCUCAGGAUGAACGCUGGCGGCGUGCCUAAUACAUGCAAGUCGAGCGAAUGGAUUAAGAGCUUGCUCUUAUGAAGUUAGCGGCGGACGGGUGAGUAACACGUGGGUAACCUGCCCAUAAGACUGGGAUAACUCCGGGAAACCGGGGCUAAUACCGGAUAACAUUUUGAACCGCAUGGUUCGAAAUUGAAAGGCGGCUUCGGCUGUCACUUAUGGAUGGACCCGCGUCGCAUUAGCUAGUUGGUGAGGUAACGGCUCACCAAGGCAACGAUGCGUAGCCGACCUGAGAGGGUGAUCGGCCACACUGGGACUGAGACACGGCCCAGACUCCUACGGGAGGC